AAUUUAAUAAAUAGGAAAGUUAUUCUUGCCAUGUUUUCUGAUCUGUCUUACCCUUCUUCCCCAAGACACAUCAUGUAAGAUAAAAAUUCAAUUCGUAUUAAAAUCGAAAGAGCACAGCAAAGAUGUUGGGGCAGUAUCAAGAAGAUUAAAUAAGUUGCUUUUUGCAGUUGAUGGCAUUUGGAGCUCUUAUUCUUUCAGUACUUUCAUUGUAGAUCCAGGAAACAGAUUAAAUCUUGCAGGAGCUGAUAUUCCUGGAAGAUCCUGGAUAUUCCCAUGCACAGGAGAAGGAUGUUGCAAGCAUUCAAACUGUUGCUGAAUUUGGCAGUGCUCUGGAUCGUGCAGUGCAACAAUUUUUUUUAACCUGUUCUGCAUCUGUCAUAGCAAAACCCAAACUUAAUUGUAGUCUUCACUUGUUUGUAGGAACAGAUGUGCUCCUUUUCAGCUGUUUUGGUGUCUGCUUUGGCUUUGUCUAAAGUGCAUGUAGCCAAGGGCAGUAGCUCCUUAUGGGAACCAGCACACCCAAAUGCAAAAUGUGGGGAAUAAGAGAAAGAAGUGUCAAGCAUGACAGGACAGUCAACUUUUUAUCUGACUGUCAGUUGGCUUUGCUAAACAGUUGGGGUUGUACAACCCAGAAGCGGUACAGACAAGAAUGAUGUUGUGGCUGAAACAUUUUGGCUCACAGCUGGGGAUCAGUCCUUGCUUGCAAGGUUCUUGCACUGGGUUGAUUUCACUUAAAUAGCAUCAGACAUCUGUGUGGUGUGGGAAGUCCUUGCAGUGUGAGAGUAUUUGAUUUGGAUGACAGUGAGGAUGUGAUACUUCGGUUUUUAUUUCUAAAGUGACUUUUCAAGUAGGUUAGAGUAUACAGUGAAUUUUUUGUUUGCAUUUAGAACUCAAAUCAACCCUUAAAAGUUGCUGUCAGUGCAUACUGCUUUGUCUAGGGCAAAAUAGUUAUGCUGCCUUCAUUUGCAGAAGUGCUUUGGUAGUGGUUUUAAUUACAGUAAGCAAAAACUUGAGAGGUUUUAGAAAAAGACCUAGCUUGGAUCACAGUCUCUCUUGCUCUUUGCAUAGAAGGUUCUUAGAGAUGCUUAAGAACUUAGGACUUCUAGACAGGCAGUUUCUGCAUUUCUGGUGAGAGUUUUCUAAUACAUCUGCUGCUCUUGUUGGGUAGUUGCAAUCUGAUUUUUAGUUUUCCUGUAUGUUUUAGUGAGAACAGUGUUGUCUCAUUAAAAUCUUCCUUUCCUCUUUUUGAUCUGAAACUGAACUCAAUUUUGUGCCAAUUGAAUGUUUCGGGAUAGGACUGGCGGAAGGACAGGGUAUUCUUUCAGCAGCCCAAUCACUUCAAACCUGCACCCUCUCCCUGUGCUUUGUGAGCCUGUGUUCUGAAGUGGAAGGGAAGACUUGUCACAAGAAUCACCAGAUGCAUCUGCAGAAUGGAAAUAGUCUGUUUACCUGAGCAGGUUGUACCAGAGGCUCUUCAUCCUUUGCCUACCAUGACAGCCAUUACAUAUAAGAAAGAACUUCAUUUUUAGAAGUGUAGUCUUGAUACUUAAAAUUAUGGUCUCAGUAACAGUAUUGGUUUUAUAACAGCUUACAAUCUUUUUUUGUCUCUUCUGUUAGCUGUUGUGGCAGUAAACAAUCAAUCUCUCCCUCCCCGCUCCCAGGGAAGAACUUGUUUUAGUACCUCUUCCCUUGCUCACAUCCAUCUCUGUUUUCCAGAUAUCACCAACUCAUUCUCUCAUGAUAUGAUGGAAGUAACCAGUAAAACUCAAAGUAAUUGUCCUCAAAUUCAAUAUAUGCACUUGGAGCUUGCUGCAGCUAUUCCAGAGGAUCCUUUGUGCAGUUCUUUCCAGCUCUGUUAAUCAAAUGGAUAACAGGUUCUCCAGAUCUCCACAUUCCUGACAGCUCGUCCUUAGAGCUUGCAUAGAUUGGGGUACAGGAGCAGAUGGGAGUGUGGAGGGCUGUGGCAAACUGAGCUGUGCCAUUUUUACCUGGGCUGUCUGCUAUGACCUUGUGUCUGGCAAUGGCAGGUUUCAGUAGUCUGUGAAGUCCUCGGGCAGAGCAUUGCCUUGAUAAGAGGUGGAUUUUUGUGGUUCAGAAAGACGUCCAUCAGUAAAAAAGUUUUCAUAUCUAACAAUGUAUUUCCCUACUUUUGCUCUCCUCACUUUGUCCUUUUCAAAUGAUUCUUCUGUGCCAUGUGCUUGGCAGGGGAUUGGAAAGAAGAAGCGAGAGAAACUGAUACAAAUUGAUGCUGUUCAAGUUUUCUGAGUGAUGUGAUAGUGGAUUUGAAGGGGAAAAAUCCUCUAUCGAUGGUGUAUGUGGUGUAGUGAUACAGUGCUUGAUGGUCUGGUAAAUCUCGAAGAACUGUGUCAGCCUGAUUCCUUGAGGGCAGACAGAUGCAACUGGCCCUACAGCUGUUAUCUGGUUGAGUAACUAAGUGGAUGGAGGAUAUUUAGCUGGCUGCAGCUGCAGGAUUUUAGAUCUGUAGCUGCUAUUAGAGCACAGCUCACUGAGGCCAAAUAAUUACUGUAUAAUUUAGCGUCAGUGCAAACAACAUAAGCUUAUGCAUUUGCUUCCCUAUAGAAGUGCUUUGUCCUCUAAAUCUGUUCCUGCGCGUUCCUCAAAGUCAUCCUGCAGCUUUCAUGUCCCCUUGUGCAUCUUAAAUUAGAUCAAUAACUUCCUAGGCUGGCUCUGGUGGAGUGGCUUGCUCCACAGAGCUGCUUUCUGAAGCUGAAAGCAAUGCAAUCCUCAGGAAAUCCUGCUGAGUAAGGAGUGCUUCGGUUAAUGUGUAAUCAAGUCAUGAUAAGACCAGCUAAUAAAGAUAAGGUUCUUAACAAGCAGCAUGGGACAAUGAGCAGGGAAAUGGAGAAUGGCAAACAAUGUGAUUAAUGAUGACCCCUAGCUGCACUGCUCCCAGUGAAACCAAACCCACAAGCCACCAACCCUGAAGGGGAUGUGUGGGCAUGAUGCUGAGGGGGAAGGAAAGUGGGAGGAAUCCAGGGACGAGUAGCAGGAGAGUAACUGUACCUGUGUAACUGCAAGGGUAACACCUCUGGCUGCAGGCAGGGUGUCUUAAAACAUAGCUGGAGGGAAUUCAAUUGGUCUUUUUUAUUUUAAAAAGUGGAAUUGGAGUUAUUCUCUCUAACUCAUAAGGGGAGCCUCUGUAGAACGAACAGGAAGCACACAGACUUAGGAGGAGCACCCUGCAGUGGAAAUGCCCAUGGGCAUGGAGCAGCAGCCGCUGGGCAGGAUAUUCUUUGUAUUUGAUGAUCUUUAACUCAGUGCUGUUGCCACCACUGAGAUCACUCAUGUUGAAUUUGUACCUUAUUGUAUUGCUCCCAUUGUUUUGACUUAAACUAAAUUCGCCAGUGGGCCUUAUCAGUAGGGCUGACGCUCCCACUUCACUACCUUUCUUGUCUAGAAAGAUGCACUCUUUUCCCCUAAGUAAACAUGAAGAUGCAAGCUUGCUUACACUGAGAGGCUCCUCACUAUGCAUGGAGCAGUGGUAAACUGCACACUGCCCAAAUGAGGGCAGUUCUGUGGACAUGCAUUUAUUUCUGACUAUGCCACUGUGUGUCAGACUUCAGCUUUGCUAUGUAUGUGCUAACACUGACUGGAACUGCAACCCCAACAGAGAGCUGAUGAACACAGGUGAAAUAGGAAAAGGUUGGAAGGAAGAAGAACGUUGAUCUAAUCUCUUUUAAUAGCAGCAGCAGAUAAGAUGUGGGCAUAAUUUUUGCCAUGAGCAUUGGAUUUGCAACCUGAGCAGUGAUGGUUUUAAGAAGCUGGUAGUCUGGAGCACAUUGAAACAUUAAUCUAGUGUUGAACAAGCAUAAUUGUCAAUCAAGAAACUGCUGCUUGCAUACGGUGAUUCAGGAAGAACAUCACCCCAGAAAACUGCUGAUCUUGUCCGAGAGUUUGUUCCUUGGCUUGUUCAGGCUCUGAUGGCUGUUGUUCGGGAGCAGCAAAUUAACAGCAGUUAUGCAAGGCAUGGAAGUAGGGCAGUUCUAGCUAGCAUUGAGAAAUAGAUGGUGAAAGCCUAAUAAGCUCUGAAAAGCUUUUAUAUUUAAUCUUACGCUUGUAACAGCUUUAAUAAUUUCUUUUAAAAAAUGGAGAUGAACUCGGAACGUGAGUGUGCAGGUUGCUGGGGAGACAUCAGCUUUGGCUCCGCUGCGUUUGUGGAACCAGCAGGAGUUGCUGCCACAAGUCUUAAUGUGUCAGCAGGAGCUGUUGAUGUUAAAAAUCAUCCCGUGUCUGUAUCCUUCAACUCUUUUGCAACGGUUUAGGUAAGUUGGCAGCUUUUGUCAAAAAAUGGAGAGGAAGAGAGCGAGAAGUUACAGUUCUGGCACACAGCGGCUGCAGAUGGCCAUAAGCAGUGGCUCGGGGAGAGGUGGGAAUCGCUCUUUUUCAAAGGGGUGUCAACACCGCCGUGAAAAUUCAAACACAGUGCGAUUUCUGCUUGCUGAAGGUCAGUGCGGCAGCAUCUGCAGUUAUCCUGAGUCGGUGGGUGGUGCUUCUGCUGAGUGAGACCAUUUCUCUCCUGCCAAGGGACACCUGGAAGUUAUUUGUGAGCAGAGGCGGGGAAAGCUUCAGCAACUUGUGUGAACUCAGCUCCCAAACCACUUGUGUAUAUACAUAUAUACAUAUAUAUAUA
Tympanuchus pallidicinctus (lesser prairie-chicken) is the source of this 4651-nucleotide long non-coding RNA. RefSeq lists it as uncharacterized. The transcript is spliced from 2 exons. Lineage: Eukaryota; Metazoa; Chordata; Aves; Galliformes; Phasianidae. The record is from RefSeq and is a predicted model, not a curated record.